Bombyx mori (domestic silkworm) is the source of this 84-nucleotide non-coding RNA. Lineage: Eukaryota; Metazoa; Arthropoda; Insecta; Lepidoptera; Bombycidae. The record is from Rfam.
UUAAUUCAAAUUUGUAUGGAGUUGGAACGUUUGCCUAAGUUUGCCGCUAGGGGCGCUGUUCCGAAUGCAUACAAAAUUGGGUUA